CGAAAGCCUGACGGAGCAACGCCGCGUGGGGGAGGAAGGCUCUUGGGUUGUAAACCCCUUUUCUCAGGGAAGAAGCUCUGACGGUACCUGAGGAAUCAGCCUCGGCUAACUCCGUGCCAGCAGCCGCGGUAAUACGGAGGAGGCAAGCGUUAUCCGGAAUUAUUGGGCGUAAAGCGUCCGCAGGUGGCUAUUUAAGUCUGCUGUCAAAGACCGGGGCUCAACUCCGGGUCGGCAGUGGAAACUGGAUAGCUAGAGUACGGUAGGGGUAGAGGGAAUUCCCGGUGUAGCGGUGAAAUGCGUAGAGAUCGGGAAGAACACCGGUGGCGAAAGCGCCCUACUGGACCUGAUCUGACACUGAGGGACGAAAGCUAGGGGAGCG
Molecule: ribosomal RNA, 379 nt
Filed under: uncultured cyanobacterium
Lineage: Bacteria; Bacillati; Cyanobacteriota
Description: bacterial SSU rRNA
Rfam family: Bacterial small subunit ribosomal RNA
Source: RNAcentral